RNAcentral lists this ribosomal RNA (839 nucleotides) under uncultured archaeon. RNAcentral's name for it is "bacterial SSU rRNA". It matches the Rfam family "Archaeal small subunit ribosomal RNA", at positions 21 to 859 of the family's 1478-position model. The record is from RNAcentral.
AGGUUACUGCUAUCGGUGUUCGCCUAAGCCAUGCGAGUCAUAUGUUCUUCGUGAACAUGGCGUACUGCUCAGUAACACGUGGAUAACCUGCCCUUAGGUCCGGCAUAACCCCGGGAAACUGGGGAUAAUUCCGGAUAACGCACAUAUGCUGGAAUGCUUUAUGCGUCAAAUGGAUUCGUCCGCCCAAGGAUGGGUCUGCAGCCUAUCAGGUAGUAGUGGGUGUAAUGUACCUACUAGCCUACGACGGGUACGGGUUGUGAGAGCAAGAGCCCGGAGAUGGAUUCUGAGACAUGAAUCCAGGCCCUACGGGGCGCAGCAGGCGCGAAAACUUUACAAUGCGGGAAACCGUGAUAAGGGGACACCGAGUGCCAGCAUCAUAUGCUGGCUGUCCGGGUGUGUAAAAUACACCUGUUAGCAAGGGCCGGGCAAGACCGGUGCCGGCCGCCGCGGUAACACCGGCGGCCCGAGUGGUGAUCGUGAUUAUUGGGUCUAAAGGGUCCGUAGCCGGUUUGGUCAGUCCUCCGGGAAAUCUGACGGCUUAUCCGUUAGGCUUUCGGGGGAUACUGCCAGACUUGGAACCGGGAGAGGUAAGAGGUACUACAGGGGUAGGAGUGAAAUCUUGUAAUCCCUGUGGGACCACCUGUGGCGAAGGCGUCUUACCAGAACGGGUUCGACGGUGAGGGACGAAAGCUGGGGGCACGAACCGGAUUAGAUACCCGGGUAGUCCCAGCCGUAAACGAUGCUCGCUAGGUGUCAGGCAUGGCGCGACCGUGUCUGGUGCCGCAGGGAAGCCGUGAAGCGAGCCACCUGGGAAGUACGGCCGCAAGGCUGAAACUUAA